GAUGAACGCUGGCGGCGUGCUUAACACAUGCAAGUCGAACGGAAAGGCCCUGCUUGCCGGGUACUCGAGUGGCGAACGGGUGAGUAACACGUGGGUGAUCUGCCCUGCACUUCGGGAUAAGCCUGGGAAACUGGGUCUAAUACCGGAUAGGAGCCAUUUUUAGUGUGAUGGUUGGAAAGUUUUUUCGGUGUAGGAUGAGCUCGCGGCCUAUCAGCUUGUUGGUGGGGUAAUGGCCUACCAAGGCGGCGACGGGUAGCCGGCCUGAGAGGGUGGACGGCCACAUUGGGACUGAGAUACGGCCCAGACGCCUACGGGAGGCAGCAGGGGGGAAUAUUGCACAAUGGGCGCAAGCCUGAUGCAGCGACGCCGCGUGGGGGAGGACGGCCUUCGGGUUGGAAACUCCUUUCGCUAGGGACGAAGCUUUUUGUGACGGUACCUAGAGAAGAAGCACCGGCUAACUACGUG
This 465-nucleotide ribosomal RNA is filed under the name uncultured bacterium. RNAcentral's name for it is "partial 16S ribosomal RNA". It matches the Rfam family "Bacterial small subunit ribosomal RNA", at positions 28 to 507 of the family's 1533-position model. The record is from RNAcentral.